UGGGGAAUCUUGGACAAUGGGCGCAAGCCUGAUCCAGCCAUGCCGCGUGGAUGAUGAAGGCCUUAGGGUUGUAAAAUCCUUUCGUUGGGGACGAUAAUGACGGUACCCAAAGAAGAAGCUCCGGCUAACUUCGUGCCAGCAGCCGCGGUAAUACGAAGGGGGCUAGCGUUGUUCGGAAUUACUGGGCGUAAAGCGCACGUAGGCGGAUUGUUAAGUCAGAGGUGAAAUCCCGGAGCUCAACUUCGGAACUGCCUUUGAUACUGGCAAUCUAGAGUCCGGAAGAGGUUAGUGGAAUUCCCAGUGUAGAGGUGAAAUUCGUAGAUAUUGGGAAGAACACCAGUGGCGAAGGCGGCUAACUGGUCCGGUACUGACGCUGAGGUGCGAAAGCGUGGGGAGCAAACAGGAUUAGAUACCCCCGUAGUCCCUGAGCGGGCUGGCAAGGCGCAU
RNAcentral lists this ribosomal RNA (447 nucleotides) under uncultured bacterium. Its description in RNAcentral is "bacterial SSU rRNA". It matches the Rfam family "Bacterial small subunit ribosomal RNA", at positions 355 to 825 of the family's 1533-position model. The record is from RNAcentral.